Molecule: ribosomal RNA, 702 nt
Filed under: uncultured Providencia sp.
Lineage: Bacteria; Pseudomonadati; Pseudomonadota; Gammaproteobacteria; Enterobacterales; Morganellaceae
Description: bacterial SSU rRNA
Rfam family: Bacterial small subunit ribosomal RNA
Source: RNAcentral
CUGUAACGAUGUCGAUUUGGAGGUUGUUCCCUUGAGGAGUGGCUUCCGGAGCUAACGCGUUAAAUCGACCGCCUGGGGAGUACGGCCGCAAGGUUAAAACUCAAAUGAAUUGACGGGGGCCCGCACAAGCGGUGGAGCAUGUGGUUUAAUUCGAUGCAACGCGAAGAACCUUACCUACUCUUGACAUCCAAAGAAUUUAGCAGAGAUGCUUUAGUGCCUUCGGGAACUCUGAGACAGGUGCUGCAUGGCUGUCGUCAGCUCGUGUCGUGAAAUGUUGGGUUAAGUCCCGCAACGAGCGCAACCCUUAUCCUUUGUUGCCAGCACGUUAUGGUGGGAACUCAAAGGAGACUGCCGGUGAUAAACCGGAGGAAGGUGGGGAUGACGUCAAGUCAUCAUGGCCCUUACGAGUAGGGCUACACACGUGCUACAAUGGCGUAUACAAAGAGAAGCGACCUCGCGAGAGCAAGCGGAACUCAUAAAGUACGUCGUAGUCCGGAUUGGAGUCUGCAACUCGACUCCAUGAAGUCGGAAUCGCUAGUAAUCGUAGAUCAGAAUGCUACGGUGAAUACGUUCCCGGGCCUUGUACACACCGCCCGUCACACCAUGGGAGUGGGUUGCAAAAGAAGUAGGUAGCUUAACCUUCGGGAGGGCGCUUACCACUUUGUGAUUCAUGACUGGGGUGAAGUCGUAACAAGGUAACCA